GACGAACGCUGGCGGCGUGCUUAACACAUGCAAGUCGAGCGGUAAGGCCCUUUCGGGGGUACGACGAGCGGCGAACGGGUGAGUAACACGUGGGUGACCUGCCCUCAGCUCUGGGAUAAGCCUGGGAAACCGGGUCUAAUACCGGAUAUGACUCCAUGACGCAUGUUGUGGGGUGGAAAGCCUUGUGCGGCUGAGGAUGGGCCCGCGGCCUAUCAGCUUGUUGGUGGGGUGAUGGCCUACCAAGGCGACGACGGGUAGCUGGUCUGAGAGGACGAUCAGCCACACUGGCACUGCGACACGGGCCAGACUCCUACGGGAGGCAGCAGUAAGGAAUAUUGCGCAAUGGGCGAAAGCCUGACGCAGCGACGCCGCGUGGGGAUGAAGGUC
This 387-nucleotide ribosomal RNA is filed under the name uncultured bacterium. RNAcentral's name for it is "bacterial SSU rRNA". It matches the Rfam family "Bacterial small subunit ribosomal RNA", at positions 28 to 416 of the family's 1533-position model. The record is from RNAcentral.